GGAGUUAGCCGGUGCUUCUUCUGUGAGUGAUGUCCUUCCUGCCGGCUAUUAACCCGCAGGCCUUCUUCCUCACUGAAAGUGCUUUACAACCCGAAGGCCUUCUUCACACACGCGGCAUGGCUGGAUCAGGGUUGCCCCCAUUGUCCAAUAUUCCCCACUGCUGCCUCCCGUAGGAGUCUGGGCCGUGUCUCAGUCCCAGUGUGGCUGAUCAUCCUCUCAGACCAGCUACGGAUCGUCGCCUUGGUGAGCCGUUACCUCACCAACCAGCUAAUCCGACAUAGGCUCAUCCGAUAGCGCGAGGCCCGAAGGUCCCCCGCUUUCCCCCGUAGGGCGUACUGCGGUAUUAGCCUGGGUUUCCCCAGGUUAUCCCCCACUACCGGGCAGAUUCCUAUGCAUUACUCACCCGUCCGCCGCUCGCCACCAGGGAGCAAGCUCCCCGUGCUGCCGCUCGACUUGCAUGUGUUAGGCCUGCCGCCAGCGUUCAAUCUGAGCCAGAAUCGAACCCUGA
This 508-nucleotide ribosomal RNA is filed under the name uncultured bacterium. RNAcentral describes it as "partial 16S ribosomal RNA". The record is from RNAcentral.